RNAcentral lists this ribosomal RNA (601 nucleotides) under uncultured microorganism. RNAcentral describes it as "bacterial SSU rRNA". It matches the Rfam family "Bacterial small subunit ribosomal RNA", at positions 1 to 650 of the family's 1533-position model. The record is from RNAcentral.
CGAUUAGAGUUUGAUCCUGGCUCAGAACGAACGCUGGCGGCAUGCCUAACACAUGCAAGUCGAACGAUGCCUUCGGGCAUAGUGGCGCACGGGUGCGUAACGCGUGGGAAUCUGCCCUUGGGUUCGGAAUAACAGUUAGAAAUGACUGCUAAUACCGGAUGAUGACGUAAGUCCAAAGAUUUAUCGCCCAAGGAUGAGCCCGCGUAGGAUUAGCUAGUUGGUGGGGUAAAGGCCCACCAAGGCGACGAUCCUUAGCUGGUCUGAGAGGAUGAUCAGCCACACUGGGACUGAGACACGGCCCAGACUCCUACGGGAGGCAGCAGUGGGGAAUAUUGGACAAUGGGCGAAAGCCUGAUCCAGCAAUGCCGCGUGAGUGAUGAAGGCCUUAGGGUUGUAAAGCUCUUUUACCCGGGAUGAUAAUGACAGUACCGGGAGAAUAAGCUCCGGCUAACUCCGUGCCAGCAGCCGCGGUAAUACGGAGGGAGCUAGCGUUGUUCGGAGUUACUGGGCGUAAAGCGCACGUAGGCGGCUUUGUAAGUUAGAGGUGAAAGCCUGNAGCUCAACUCCNNAAUUGCCUUUAANACUGCAUCNCUCGAAUCCA